Molecule: long non-coding RNA, 733 nt
Organism: Paramormyrops kingsleyae
Lineage: Eukaryota; Metazoa; Chordata; Actinopteri; Osteoglossiformes; Mormyridae
Source: RefSeq, a predicted model, not a curated record
GUGAGUGAUUAUCCCUCUUCAGCACUUCAACAGUGAUGCGGAUUAGAAAAACAAACAGGAGGACACACACUGCACUGCAGCCCGGUACCAAAUGAUCCAGGGCCUGGUGGUGGAGGGCUGCUGCUGAACCUGAACCAGUCUGUUUAUCUCAUUACACCAGCAUGUUACCAUGUCACCUUACUGGGCUAUGAAGCUGGAGAACCUCCUGGACAUUUCACUGACCUGCCGUCCUGCCUCCCUCUCUAUGACUCAGUGAGUGAUACACUGGUCUGUCAGCCUCCUGUAUGACACCCACAGUAACUCCACACCAAUGGGAGCCGAGGAUCAGCCUGCUUAGCAGCAGAUGUUCCACAGAGCUUAGAGCUUUGAGCUGCUUCUGGAUUCUCACGGGAGUGAACAAGGCGAGGCUCACAGGAGAGUGACUCGCCAGCGUCCCGGUGGGCAUCAGGGUGCGUGAGGGAUCGCCAGAAGAGACAGGCUGCUGCAAGACAUCUGAAGGGCUGGAGUGUGUGUGUGUGUGUGUGUCUGUGUGUGUGGUGGGGGGGUCCUUUCAUAUCCUUGUUUGUGUCUGAGAACCUCUGAGCGGUUCACACAUAUUUGACGAACCAACGAAGGAGCAUCUGUGACAGGCUGUAUUUUCUCAUUCAGAUGAAACUCUCCUCAACUGUGUCAGUUGUUUUCAUGCUGAAACUCUCAGUCAUACUGAUUUCUCGCACAAGACGUCCCUCUGAUU